This 74-nucleotide transfer RNA is filed under the name Spartobacteria bacterium. RNAcentral's name for it is "tRNA-Val". It matches the Rfam family "tRNA". From Rfam's summary of the family: Transfer RNA (tRNA) molecules are approximately 80 nucleotides in length. Their secondary structure includes four short double-helical elements and three loops (D, anti-codon, and T loops). Further hydrogen bonds mediate the characteristic L-shaped molecular structure. tRNAs have two regions of fundamental functional importance: the anti-codon, which is responsible for specific mRNA codon recognition, and the 3' end, to which the tRNAs corresponding amino acid is attached (by aminoacyl-tRNA synthetases). tRNAs cope with the degeneracy of the genetic code in two manners: having more than one tRNA (with a specific anti-codon) for a particular amino acid; and 'wobble' base-pairing, i.e. permitting non-standard base-pairing at the 3rd anti-codon position. Lineage: Bacteria; Pseudomonadati; Verrucomicrobiota; Spartobacteria. The record is from RNAcentral. RNAcentral also lists the same sequence under 1 other name.
GGGCGGUUAGCUCAGUUGGUCAGAGCGCCAUGCUUACACCGUGGAUGUCGGGGGUUCGAGCCCCUCACCGCCCA